CAAUAGCGUAUAUUAAAGUUGUUGCGGUUAAAAAGCUCGUAGUUGGAUUUCUGGGAGGGUGCCAAUGUCCGCCGACGUGCGUGCGCAGCGGCGCCCUUCCAUCCUUCUGUUAACGCCUCUUGGCAUUCAUUUGCUGGUGGCGGGCUCAGAUAUUUUACCUUGAGAAAAUUAGAGUGUUUCAGGCAGGCUAGGCCGGAAUACAUUAGCAUGGAAUAAUGGAAUAGGACUACGGUCUCUUUGUUGGUUUGAGGGACUGCAGUAAUGAUUAAUAGGGAUAGUUGGGGGCAUUAGUAUUUAAUUGUCAGAGGUGGAAUUCUCGGAUUUGUUAAAGACUAACUUAUGCGAAAGCAUUUGCCAAGGAUGUUUUCAUUAA
RNAcentral lists this ribosomal RNA (373 nucleotides) under uncultured eukaryote. RNAcentral describes it as "partial 18S ribosomal RNA". It matches the Rfam family "Eukaryotic small subunit ribosomal RNA", at positions 592 to 976 of the family's 1831-position model. The record is from RNAcentral.